UACCAGCUCUCCGAGUGGUAGGGAUGAUUAUUGGGCUUAAAGCGUCCGUAGCCGGCUUGGCAAGUCCCCUGUUAAAUCCACCGAUUUAAUCGUUGGUGUGCGGGGGAUACUGUUCGGCUAGGGGACGGGAGAGGCCGACGGUAUUUUCGGGGUAGGGGUGAAAUCCUAUAAUCCCGGGAAGACCACCAGUGGCGAAGGCUGUCGGCUAGAACGCGCCCGACGGUGAGGGAUGAAAGCUGGGGGAGCGAACCGGAUUAGAUACCCAGGUAGUCCCAGCUGUAAACGAUGCAGGCUAGGUGUUUGGGCGGCCACGUGCCGCUCUAGUGCCGCAGAGAAGUCGUUAAGCCUGCCGCCUGGGGAGUACGGCCGCAAGGCUGAAACUUAAGGAAUUGGCGGGGGAGCACCACAAGGCGUGAAGCUUGCGGUUC
This 428-nucleotide ribosomal RNA is filed under the name uncultured archaeon. Its description in RNAcentral is "bacterial SSU rRNA". It matches the Rfam family "Archaeal small subunit ribosomal RNA", at positions 474 to 903 of the family's 1478-position model. The record is from RNAcentral.